AUGAUGUGUCGAAAGGUGGAAUUCGGCACAUCCUUUACUAGAUGCCACUUCAGUGGGAAGCUCCCAGACCACUUAUCUUGCUGCCAGAAAUCCAUGUCUUUGUGAAAAUCCACAGGGCCGACCAUUUCAGCAACACCACAAAACUGCCCGCUUGUAUUAACCUACAGAGAGUGUUGGUAUGUCAAACCCAUACAUAAAGAAAAAACGGAAAAGAAAACAAUAACACAUCAAAACUCACCGAAAAGAACAGAAAUAUUGGACACUUCCGUUGACUCCCUUUUGCUUCUGAGUAGGCAGCAUCCAGCCUUCUGUUGCCAUUGGGUGUGCUGGACCACACAUUAUAUUUGA
This 348-nucleotide ribosomal RNA is filed under the name Triticum aestivum (bread wheat). RNAcentral's name for it is "partial small subunit ribosomal RNA". Lineage: Eukaryota; Viridiplantae; Streptophyta; Magnoliopsida; Poales; Poaceae. The record is from RNAcentral.